Molecule: long non-coding RNA, 561 nt
Filed under: Phasianus colchicus (ring-necked pheasant)
Lineage: Eukaryota; Metazoa; Chordata; Aves; Galliformes; Phasianidae
Description: lncRNA (ENSPCLG00000021064.1)
Source: RNAcentral
CAGGGGCUGCAUCACUUUGCAGCACUGCCAGAGGUUGCCAACAUGUGGGUGAUCAGAUCAAACCUGAGCUGGGUAUUCUUUAUUUUAAAUUGGAUGCAGAUGCCCAAAGCAGCGUGGUGGCAGGAAUGCUUCUAUUAGUGUGGAAAGAGGAGCUGUCAAUAAAACAGGACACGCAGGAAAACCCAAAGACUACAUGAGCUAAUCCUUACCAAGGCAGGGUGUGAAAUACAAGCUCGGCAACUGUCUCCUCCAACAUGCCUGAAGCUGUAUCUAUACCAUAAGAAAUGGAGAGAGUCUUUGGGCCUGAAGCUAGCUGACACUGUCUGGCUCAUGUCCACAAGUCUUGGACUACCUCUCUCGGUGGAGUGUGGAUGAAGUGACCCAAAACAGAGCCAAGAGGUGAACUAAUAAUUUCCUGACAAGUCUGUUUGGACAACCCUCAGGAUCAGCACAUCAGUCUACAUCAUACGUGUCCAACCUGCGGCCUGCAAGCUGCACACAGCCUGGGACAGUCAAUAAUGCAAUCCCACAAGAACAUAAACUUUUAACAUUAUUACAUGA